GGUUAAGCGACUAAGCGUACACGGUGGAUGCCCUGGCAGUCAGAGGCGAUGAAGGACGUGCUAAUCUGCGAUAAGCGUCGGUAAGGUGAUAUGAACCGUUAUAACCGGCGAUUUCCGAAUGGGGAAACCCAGUGUGUUUCGACACACUAUCAUUAACUGAAUCCAUAGGUUAAUGAGGCGAACCGGGGGAACUGAAACAUCUAAGUACCCCGAGGAAAAGAAAUCAACCGAGAUUCCCCCAGUAGCGGCGAGCGAACGGGGAGCAGCCCAGAGCCUGAAUCAGUGUGUGUGUUAGUGGAAGCGUCUGGAAAGGCGUGCGAUACAGGGUGACAGCCCCGUACACAAAAAUGCACAUGCUGUGAGCUCGAUGAGUAGGGCGGGACACGUGGUAUCCUGUCUGAAUAUGGGGGGACCAUCCUCCAAGGCUAAAUACUCCUGACUGACCGAUAGUGAACCAGUACCGUGAGGGAAAGGCGAAAAGAACCCCGGCGAGGGGAGUGAAAAAGAACCUGAAACCGUGUACGUACAAGCAGUGGGAGCACGCUUAGGCGUGUGACUGCGUACCUUUUGUAUAAUGGGUCAGCGACUUAUAUUCUGUAGCAAGGUUAACCGAAUAGGGGAGCCGAAGGGAAACCGAGUCUUAACUGGGCGUUAAGUUGCAGGGUAUAGACCCGAAACCCGGUGAUCUAGCCAUGGGCAGGUUGAAGGUUGGGUAACACUAACUGGAGGACCGAACCGACUAAUGUUGAAAAAUUAGCGGAUGACUUGUGGCUGGGGGUGAAAGGCCAAUCAAACCGGGAGAUAGCUGGUUCUCCCCGAAAGCUAUUUAGGUAGCGCCUCGUGAAUUCAUCUCCGGGGGUAGAGCACUGUUUCGGCAAGGGGGUCAUCCCGACUUACCAACCCGAUGCAAACUGCGAAUACCGGAGAAUGUUAUCACGGGAGACACACGGCGGGUGCUAACGUCCGUCGUGAAGAGGGAAACAACCCAGACCGCCAGCUAAGGUCCCAAAGUCAUGGUUAAGUGGGAAACGAUGUGGGAAGGCCCAGACAGCCAGGAUGUUGGCUUAGAAGCAGCCAUCAUUUAAAGAAAGCGUAAUAGCUCACUGGUCGAGUCGGCCUGCGCGGAAGAUGUAACGGGGCUAAACCAUGCACCGAAGCUGCGGCAGCGACGCUGAUGCGUUGUUGGGUAGGGGAGCGUUCUGUAAGCCUGCGAAGGUGUGCUGUGAGGCAUGCUGGAGGUAUCAGAAGUGCGAAUGCUGACAUAAGUAACGAUAAAGCGGGUGAAAAGCCCGCUCGCCGGAAGACCAAGGGUUCCUGUCCAACGUUAAUCGGGGCAGGGUGAGUCGACCCCUAAGGCGAGGCCGAAAGGCGUAGUCGAUGGGAAACAGGUUAAUAUUCCUGUGCU
This 1405-nucleotide ribosomal RNA is filed under the name Escherichia coli. Its description in RNAcentral is "partial 23S ribosomal RNA". It matches the Rfam family "Bacterial large subunit ribosomal RNA", at positions 1 to 1445 of the family's 2925-position model. The record is from RNAcentral. Lineage: Bacteria; Pseudomonadati; Pseudomonadota; Gammaproteobacteria; Enterobacterales; Enterobacteriaceae.